CUGUGCUUGUGCAUUGUUUCCAGAUACAUGUGAGUACGCUGUCUCAGUUAGUCUAGUCAAAUAGUGUUUAUUGUCAAGUUCAUUGUGUAGUGUCACCCUGUUUAGUGUUCACUUCCUCUGUUUAGUAUCUUGUUUAUAUUGUUUUGCCCCCUCGUGGGUUUUGUUUUCUGUUUUAUUCAUUAAUAAAUAUCCUUAGUUAACCCCUUGUUGUCUGCAUUUGGGUUCAUCCCUUCACACCCUACCACCAUCAUAACAUUAGUUGCAUUUCAGUUUUAUCACAACCAACUCGAUUCACGACUGCAUAAAAAUACUUCCUUUGCAUAUUGCGUUACAAAACUAGUGUGUAACUGAUCGCAUUUCUAGUUUGUUACGGGCUACGUUAAUUAAACAGCUUAUAAGGGCUGACUUCGCGUUAGAAUCAUAACACAAAACAGGGAACGUAAAUCACCUUGUGUUUUUUUAAACUGAGAUGAACAGAGCGAAGACUUUACAGUGGAAAGAAAACUGCAUUGUAUUGCUCCAGCGUCACAUUGUGUAAACUGAAUUUAUAGUAAGGAAGUGCACAUAUGCAGAUAUCAUAGGAAAUAGCAGUAAAUACACACACCUUGUUCUCUUCUGAAGUUCACGCGCACUGUGAGACCGUCUUCUUCUUCUUUUCGUUUACUGGCUGCUCACUCCUUGGGAGUAUUACCGCCACCUACUGUAUUCACCUUAUUUUUCACGACAACAAGGGCGGCGCCAUUUCGCUCAUUUUGUCAACGUUCUUCCGGCCGCAUAGACGAUGAGCAGCUGAGGCAGUGACUGAAGGCGACGUUAGCUCACUCGAGCGCCUUUAUGUUUCUUUCUUACCAAUUUUAAGCCAACUGAGGAACACCCUUAUCCCAAGUAAUGGUUCGACUACGAUGUUCCGGUAACUUUAAACCACGCCUGGUGUUGAAAAUGUGGCCAGUUUCAGAUGCAUUGAUGUUUAGUGAUGCAGUGGACAAAUGUGAGGAUGAUACAAUCAACAUGUUCCUAAACUGUGAUGCAGAAACACAAUGGGAGCUUCUAUCCGUCUCUGACCACAACUACACUUUAAAAUCACAACUCAACCUGAAGCAACAUACAUCUGAUAUGGGAAAACAAUGGUGCGGUUUCCCUGACAGGGCUUAUGUUGGUCCCAGGCUAAAAUGCAUAUUUGAGCUACAAUAAUUUAAAAACACCUUUUACUGACAUACCUCAACAUAUAUGAGUGCCAUUGUUUUGUCACAAGAUGCGCACCAGUCUUGUUUUUUUGUAGGAUUUGUUUGUAAAAACUAAAAUGUCCUAAUAUAAUUAAGGCCUAGUCCUGUAAACCCUGUCCGAGAAACUGCUUCAAUGUGUUGAGCUGGCACAAAUGUACAUAUCUCUACUGAGAAACAACCAUCUUUGGUUCAGCUUUACACAGGGUUGAUAUUGCAUUCAUUACACAGUCGCCAAGCACUUUACCAGUACAUACACCAACAGCUUCCAGAUAUACGCUUGGGAUCAGCUCCUGAUGACUCCGAUAAAGCUGUGUCUUAAUUUAUUGCAGGGUGGUCUUGCUUUACCUGUUGUAAAGUUACAUUAAACCUUCAUAUGUGAUCAGAUGUCAUGCAGUGAUAUUAAACAUUUACAGUGUGAUCAGAUGUUGUGCAUUUAUAUUAAAUCUUUACAAUGUGAUCAGCUGUUACCUGUCAUGCAUUUAUAUUAAACAUUUACUAUGUGAUCAGAUGUAACC
This is a non-coding RNA of Paramisgurnus dabryanus, 1738 nucleotides long. The record is from RefSeq and is a predicted model, not a curated record. NCBI's taxonomy places the organism in Eukaryota, Metazoa, Chordata, Actinopteri, Cypriniformes, Cobitidae.